AUGGCGGCGAGCGCCACGCCCCGCGCGUACCUGGCCUCCAGGUGCGCCGGCCGCAGCGCCAGCGCGCGCCCCGCGUUGCCGGCCGCCGCCGCGGGCCGGCCCAGCCGCAGCUGCGCCGCCGCCAGCGCCGCGUGCAGCUCGGCCUUGAGCGCGGCCGCGCGCUCGGGCAGCGGCGCCGGGCCCGCGGCCGCCACGGCGCGACGCAGCGCCCGCGCCAAGGCCCGAACAGCCGAAAAGUCCUGCCCGUUCGCCGCCAGCGCCGCCCCGCGUGCCAGCCCGGCCUCCACCGCGUGCCAGCGGGCGGCCGGCGGCGCGGCCCAGAACGGCGGCGCCGGUGCGAAGCGGCCCAGCCGCACCAGCAGCACCGCGGUGGAACCGUCAUCAUCAUCGCCGCGCGGCCGCAGCCACGCCAGCUCGCCCGCCGCCAUCGUCUCCAGCGCCGCGUCCAGCAGCGCUGACCACCGGCCCUCGGCCUCGCCCAGCCGCACGCUCAGCCAGCGGCCGCACGGCACGGCCGGAGCGCCCCAGGGACAACGGCCGGACACCGGCACCCGCAGCCGGACACGGCACAGCGAGCCGGGGCCCGGCCGCGCCAGCCCGCGCCCGCGCCGAGCGCGCAGCUUCCACCAGGCGCCGUCCGGGCUCGGCUGCCACGCGCCCGAAACGGGGUUAGGAGGGGAUGGCUCCGCCCCCUGGGCUUCAAACCCCGCCCCCUGGGCUUCAAACUCCGCCCCCUGGGCUUCAAACCCCGCCCCCUGGGCUUUAAACCCCGCCCCCUGGGCUUCAAACCCCGCCCCCUGGGCUUCAAACUCCGCCCCCUGGGCUUCAAACCCCGCCCCCGGGUCCUUUGGAUUGACAGCACACGGCUCAAGCUCCGCCCCCUGUGGUUUAACUGCCACUCCCUGGGUUAUAAGCUCCGCCCCCUGUGCUUUAAGCUCCGCCCCCUGUGGUUUAACUGCCACUCCCUGGGUUAUAAGCUCCGCCCCCUGUGCCACAGGCCCACGGCGCACAAGCUCCGCCUCCAAAGCGUCGAGCUCCGCCUCCUCCUCGUCAGGCUCCGCCUCAAAGGCUUCAAGCUCCACCCCCCAAGUCUCAAGCCCCUCCCCCUCGGGCGUCCUAAGCCACGCCUCCUCCAGCGACCAAUCCCAGGGCUCUCGCGCCUGA
RNAcentral lists this long non-coding RNA (1164 nucleotides) under Taeniopygia guttata (zebra finch). RNAcentral describes it as "lncRNA (ENSTGUG00000019177.1)". Lineage: Eukaryota; Metazoa; Chordata; Aves; Passeriformes; Estrildidae. The record is from RNAcentral.